Molecule: ribosomal RNA, 160 nt
Filed under: uncultured bacterium
Lineage: Bacteria
Description: partial 16S rRNA
Rfam family: Bacterial small subunit ribosomal RNA
Source: RNAcentral
UGGGGAAUUUUGGACAAUGGGCGCAAGCCUGAUCCAGCCAUUCCGCGUGCAGGAUGAAGGCCCUCGGGUUGUAAACUGCUUUUGUACAGAACGAAAAGGUUUCUACUAAUACUAGGAGCUCAUGACGGUACUGUAAGACUAAGCACCGGCUAAUUACGUG